GGGAAGCGGAGAAUAUUGGGAUGAUUCGAAAAGAAAUGCCAGGGCCCAAGAGAUCCACUGGAAGCGAUGAUGAGAUCUGGGAGGGAGAAAUGCAGCAGCUUAUUCAGGGACGGGCUAAACGCGGGAGGGGGGGAAGAAAAAAUAUGCAGGGGUGGAAAUGGAGGAAGUACACGGAACCAGGAGGAGGGGGGUAGGCAAUUCUUGGAAGAAGGAGGAGAACGUUUUUAUAGCGGGGAGGAAAGAGAUGAGAUCAGAACUAUAAAAUAUGGGUUGGAGCUUGGGGAAUCGUUUGGAAUGUGUAACAGAAAAGCGAGGCGGCCACGGGGCAGAGGGAGGUCUCGACUCUCCUCCCCCUUCGCUCUCCCGCCUCCUCCCCUUCCGCCGGCGAAUGCGUGGAGGCCAGCUAGACGCCGCGGCCUCGAAGCCGACCUUUUCUGCGCCAGCGAGGCCGAAACAAACACAACCGCCAGCUGUGAAAGGAUGGCAACUCUGGGCUUUGUAACAGAAGGGGGAAGGAAAUCCUGCUUAUGCCCUUUCUUGCACUACGGCCUUGUAAAGUAGGCCAAUUGCCUCCCAAACAAGAGAGAUUUUGCUCAGCAUGAGAAGACACACAUAAAGCAGUUCUAUCUCACAAUGUGUGGUUUUCAAGAGAAUGAUUAGUAUGAGUUGCAUCAUGAGAUUUCAAGUUGAUCAUUUGCAGAUAAAGUGAAGAAAAUUGUGCUUCAUCAAUAAAAAGUGGAAUCCAUUUGAUGAUAAUAAUGGACUUCAUCACAUUUCAAGCUUGCAUGUGUUGACAUUGGAAAAAACAGUAUCUUUCUGAAAAAUCUUCAUUCAAAAGACUAAGAAAUUAUUCUGCCAAUAAAGCACAUUAAAACGCACAUCAGAAGAUCAGACAAAAAAAAGAUAUCCAAAAAGAAACUACAGUACUGUGCUCUUAAGAGUCAUUAAUGUGGCAAGAUAGAAUACAUGAGCUGGAGAAGGAAUUGCCUGCCAAGAUGUGUCUACCACUUUUACCUCAGUCAUCUUCAACUCUGCUUGACUUCAUGCCAGAUUGGUUGCAAUAUCUGCUGGAAAGUCAUUCAGCAGUUUUGGGGAUUUUGCAAAGCAGAUGUUGCACAAAUUUCUCUCUCUGAAGAGGCUCCUUGAGAAUGGACAUUGCAUUGGAUGUACAGAGAUGGUAGCAUUAAAUCCUUAGAGCCCUGUAGAAGAAUGACAUGGUGUCCUGUUGAAUUCAGCAUAACUGGUAUUGAAACUCCUCUACCCAAGGACAUUUGGGCUUCCAACAUAAUAUAAAUGGCAAAAGUUCUUCGUAGAUUACAUUCUGAAUGAACAGAAUUAGUUGAAGGACAAUACCUUUUAAGUGGGAGGACUUGGAUUUAAUCGAGAGGAGUACCUAUCAAAUGGUGAGACAAGUGAGACUCUUGAUCUGAUAUCUGAUCUUGAACGUGAUGAGAGAAUUUUUCUUCAUAUUAAUCCUGCUACCAUGAAAUCUUGCCUACAGUAUAUGCUUUAACUGAGUGCGAUACUAUAAGCAAAUUCAGUAGAAAGCACACUGCUCUUAAAUGUUCCAGCGUAACCACAGUGUCUGAUGUUCGGGAAGUAAGAGUUACCUAACUACGCUACAGGCUGCAGAAUCAUUUCGUGCAGGAAUGAUAUCACUACAUUUCUCUGCAAUGAAUGUCAAAUUCAACAGUACCAUUGAAUGAAGUGUCUUGACUUUUCAAAGCUGCUACCAAUAUCACCCUCCACACAUCUUCACAUAAGGAGAGCAUAUCUGCAGAGCUACUGGUGGUACCACAUACUUGAAGAUGUGACAGCUCUUAAGUCAUCUCAGUAUGGCUUCACAAAAGAAGAUGGUGAAUGGUUGCCUCAUUACACUGGAGAAAGUCUUCCUAAUGAUUUUCCCCUUGCUUGCACAUGCAAGAAAUGUGUAAUAGACAUUGUUUGCAAAUGCCCUGCCCUGGAGCAAGAAAUGAUGUUGCUCCAGAUUUUGCGUUUGUGGGUGUAACAAUGUUUGCCAGAAUCCAAUUAACCAGUGUUUAGGCCUAAUGUGUAUUAUGGUUUUAAUUGUAUUAAAUAACAAAGAGGUUUAUACUUCAGCAAUAUUUUACUUACUUUGCUCUUUGAUCUAAGAAUUAGUGGCAUAUUUAAUACAAUUAAUAAAACCGCAUUUUCCUUUAAAACUUGUUCAAUUUAGGGCAAUAAAUGUUAUGAAUGAAAUUAUUCAAAAUGUUCUUCGAAGCAAAGUUUAUUAUAUAACAAUGGUCUUCCUAAAAUCAAGAGUUUCUGAAAAAUUGAUGAUUUAUGAAGCAAGGAAGCAUAGCGGUCAUUUGUAGAUUUGUGGCCAUUUUGGAAAACAACUGAUGGCAUCAGGGUGUGAUCAAGUCAGAAAACUAUACUAGCCAAGAACACAUCCCAGAAGAGAAACUAUAUGUACAUUUGCCAACAGGCACAUGGCUGGCCCCUGCAUUAAUGUAUGCACAGAGGAUUUGGGAGAGAAGCAGGAUUUUCUCUUAUCUGGGUGGGAUAUGAAAGAGGAAACAAACGGAGUGUCUUUCCCAUUGCUCAGAAGGAAAUCCUGCUAUUUCUUCGUAUCUGCUUGAAACGUGAAGUGGAAAUUAGAGUCGUGAGGUAGGGGUUUCUAUGGUGCUGUAUGUCCUGCUUGCCAGAGGGCAAAGGGCACACCCUGGUGGAACAGGUAAUUCAAUUUGUGGAUGCCUGACCAUAGGGUUCAGAGGAUGGAUGGGUACAAGUGGUUGUAGAGUUCAAGGGCAGGCAGAAUAUCAAAAAAAUUAAAUCCUAACAAGUGUGGUAUAUAGCAGGGCAAAUGAGAUUACAAUCCUACUGCAAUCCAUUUUGGCAUUUCUGAUAGUAAAUUGAAGUGUUUUGCUACUUUAAUUGCCAUAUUGACAAUGCAAGACAUACGGGGCUUUAACCAUAAAGAUGCUAAGCAUGGAGCAAAACUUGUGCAUCCAUACAGAGUCAUGGUGUGAUGGCUUCAUUUUAUUUUC
Molecule: long non-coding RNA, 3011 nt
Organism: Rhineura floridana
Lineage: Eukaryota; Metazoa; Chordata; Lepidosauria; Squamata; Rhineuridae
Exons: 2
Source: RefSeq, a predicted model, not a curated record